GAUGUGGUCGGGGAAGAAGCUGCGAAUCUGGAUUUGUGAUUGUUAUAGCUCCGACGAGGAUUGGACCACUGGGGGCUAUUUGUAGCCAUCAGAUUCUUCCUUCCGGCCAUCUUUCUACCGCUAGGGGUAGUGUGGGACUCUCUUCUUGCUUCGACGUGAAGCUCUCGGCCAGACAUCAGAGAUCGAUUCAGGGGGAUUCUUGUUGGUGGCAGAGGUUACGUUUGGUCGCGGCAGCAAGCAUAUUUUCGACUUUGGAUUAACCACGGUGCAUCCGAAUUUGGGUGAAUGAAGAUGCUUGAGUUAAAGGGGGA
This is a long non-coding RNA of Zingiber officinale, 311 nucleotides long. RefSeq lists it as uncharacterized. Lineage: Eukaryota; Viridiplantae; Streptophyta; Magnoliopsida; Zingiberales; Zingiberaceae. The record is from RefSeq and is a predicted model, not a curated record. The transcript is spliced from 4 exons.